AACAAAUAUUAAAGGCAACGCCUGCCCAGUGAACAAUUAAACGGCCGCGGUACCCUAACCGUGCAAAGGUAGCAUAAUCAUUUGUCUAUUAACUGUAGACCUGUAUGAAAGGCAAAAUGAGGGUUUAACUGUCUCUUAUAAUAAAUCUAUUAAACUGAUCUACUAGUAAAAAAGCUAGAAUACCAACAUAAGACCAGAAGACCCUGUGAAGCUUAAACUAAACUAUUAAACCUAAUAAUAACUACUUUCGGUUGGGGCGACCUUGGAAACAAAAAGAACUUCCAAACAAUAUGAUAUGUCACAUUAAGGCCUACGAGCCAACAAACGACCCAGUAUAGCUGAUAAUUGAACAAAGUUACUCCAGGGAUAACAGCGCCAUCUUCUUCAAGAGCCCAUAUCAAAAAGAAGGUUUACGACCUCGAUGUUGGAUCAGGACAUCCUAAUGGUGCAGCCGCUAUUAAAGGUUCGUUUGUUCAACGAUUAAUGUCCUACGUGA
This 496-nucleotide ribosomal RNA is filed under the name Opisthotropis voquyi. RNAcentral's name for it is "partial large subunit ribosomal RNA". It matches the Rfam family "Bacterial large subunit ribosomal RNA", at positions 1838 to 2603 of the family's 2925-position model. The record is from RNAcentral. Lineage: Eukaryota; Metazoa; Chordata; Lepidosauria; Squamata; Natricidae.